RNAcentral lists this transfer-messenger RNA (419 nucleotides) under Micavibrio aeruginosavorus. It matches the Rfam family "Alphaproteobacteria transfer-messenger RNA". From Rfam's summary of the family: Bacterial tmRNA, also known as 10Sa RNA or SsrA, is named for its dual tRNA and mRNA-like properties. Its role is to liberate the mRNA from a stalled ribosome. Lineage: Bacteria; Pseudomonadati; Bdellovibrionota; Bdellovibrionia; Bdellovibrionales; Pseudobdellovibrionaceae. The record is from RNAcentral.
AUCCUUGAAAUCUUAACGAUUUUAUCCUAUAUUAGAGAUGCGGGCCUUCGGGCCCGUUAUGACGCUAAACGUGAGUACGGAAUAAGCGUCGUGGACCCGGGGGCAGUGCCCGGCAGCUCCACCAAAUUCGCUUCUUUCAUGAGAGGCAAAUGCGGCGGGGCUGAAACAGGAUCGACACGCGUGGUAAAGGUAUAUUGCGGCGUUCGGAAUGAUACCGCCGGGGUUUUUCCCGCAGGGUCAAGCAUCACAAAUGCUAACGAUAACUUCAAAGUCGUAGCAGCCAACGACAACUCGUUUGACGCUGGCCUCGCAGUAGCCGCCUAAUUUUAGGUCGCAACUGUAGCUACAAAACAAUCCCUGUUGCCUAGACAGUAACAGGUGGGGUUCGGGCGGUUCCUCGCAACAGAAUACCGCCCACU